RNAcentral lists this ribosomal RNA (460 nucleotides) under uncultured bacterium. RNAcentral describes it as "partial 16S ribosomal RNA". It matches the Rfam family "Bacterial small subunit ribosomal RNA", at positions 338 to 795 of the family's 1533-position model. The record is from RNAcentral.
CCUACGGGAGGCAGCAGUGAGGAAUAUUGGUCAAUGGACGAGAGUCUGAACCAGCCAAGUAGCGUGAAGGAUGACUGCCCUAUGGGUUGUAAACUUCUUUUAUAUGGGACUAAACUGUUCCACGUGUGGGAUUUUGUAUGUACCAUAUGAAUAAGGAUCGGCUAACUCCGUGCCAGCAGCCGCGGUCAUACGGAGGAUCCGAGCGUUAUCCGGAUUUAUUGGGUUUAACGGGAGCGUAGGUGGAUUGUUAAGUCAGUUGUGAAAGUUUGCGGCUCAACCGUAAAAUUGCAGUUGAAACUGGCAGUCUUGAGUACAGUAGAGGUGGGCGGAAUUCGUGGUGUAGCGGUGAAAUGCUUAGAUAUCACGAAGAACUCCGAUUGCGAAGGCAGUUCACUGGACUGCAACUGACACUGAGGCUCGAAAGUGUGGGUAUCAAACAGGAUUAGAUACCCCGGUAGUC